ACAACAGACGAGAGAGGCUGGGUCUCAGGAAGGAACUCUGUCUGAACUGGGGACAUCUCCAGGAGACAUGCAGAGGCCCCAACCCUCUCUGAGCCUCCGUUUGCCUCCACCGGAAACAAGGGAAGUGCAGCUUGUACCCAGGUCAGCAUGAGAAGCACCCACUACCCAGAGAGCAGAUAUCUCACAGGGAGGACCCCACACGGCCCUACUACUACCAAGGAGAUCAUGUAACUGGACCAUCCAAUACCCACCAGCCAUGAUUACAAACCAGGACGUCAGGGAACCCAUACUCUGCCGCAGAAAGACACUGGUCGCAGUGAAGACUCCUGCUCCUGUUCUUCUCCCAUAAAAACAGGAAUAAAAGUUCUACUCACUCCA
Rattus norvegicus (Norway rat) is the source of this 378-nucleotide non-coding RNA. Lineage: Eukaryota; Metazoa; Chordata; Mammalia; Rodentia; Muridae. The record is from RefSeq and is a predicted model, not a curated record.